RNAcentral lists this ribosomal RNA (492 nucleotides) under uncultured bacterium. RNAcentral describes it as "partial 16S ribosomal RNA". It matches the Rfam family "Bacterial small subunit ribosomal RNA", at positions 28 to 523 of the family's 1533-position model. The record is from RNAcentral.
GACGAACGCUGGCUGCGUGCUUAACACAUGCAAGUCGAACGCUGAAACCCUGGUGCUUGCACCGGGGUGGAUGAGUGGCGAACGGGUGAGUAACACGUGAGUAACCUGCCCCCGACUUCGGGAUAAGCCCGGGAAACAGGGGCUAAUACCGGAUAUGAGCGCCCCUCGCAUGAGGGAUGCUGGAAAGUCUUUUCGGUUGGGGAUGGGCUCGGGGCCUAUAAGUUUGUUGGUGAGGUAAGGGCUCACCAAGACGACGACGGGUAGCCGGCCUGAGAGGGCGACCGGCCACACUGGGACUGAGACACGGCCCAGACUCCUACGGGAGGCAGCAGUGGGGAAUAUUGCACAAUGGGGGAAACCCUGAUGCAGCGACGCAGCGUGCGGGAUGACGGCCUUCGGGUUGUAAACCGCUUUCAGCAGGGAAGAAGCCCCUUGGGGUGACGGUACCUGCAGAAGAAGUACCGGCUAACUACGUGCCAGCCGCCGCAGUAA